UCCUUAGACGUUCUGGGCCGCACGCGCGCUACACUGACGGAGCCAGCGAGUAUAAACCUUGGCCGAGAGGUCUGGGAAAUCUUGUGAAACUCCGUCGUGCUGGGGAUAGAGCAUUGUAAUUAUUGCUCUUCAACGAGGAAUUCCUAGUAAGCGCAAGUCAUCAGCUUGCGUUGAUUACGUCCCUGCCCUUUGUACACACCGCCCGUCGCUACUACCGAUUGAAUGGCUUAGUGAGGCUUCCGGAUUGGUUUAGAGAAGGGGGCAACUCCAUCUUGGAACCGAGAAGCUAGUCAAACUUGGUCAUUUAGAGGAAGUAAAAGUCGUAACA
RNAcentral lists this ribosomal RNA (328 nucleotides) under uncultured eukaryote. RNAcentral's name for it is "partial 18S ribosomal RNA". It matches the Rfam family "Eukaryotic small subunit ribosomal RNA", at positions 1470 to 1796 of the family's 1831-position model. The record is from RNAcentral.